Equus caballus (horse) is the source of this 2709-nucleotide long non-coding RNA. The record is from Ensembl. Lineage: Eukaryota; Metazoa; Chordata; Mammalia; Perissodactyla; Equidae.
CAGCACACCAACGGGAAGGCAUAAAGGGGGUGGGAGACGGGCCUUGAAGGACUGGUAGUUUGGAGCAGAAUGGAGGUUGGCACUUCAGGCCCAGGUGUGGAGGGAGGAAUCAAACGGACAUGCCUGCGGGAGGGCAGGAAGACAAGGCAAGACUGACAGGGAGGAGAAGUUGGGGAAGGGAGCCGCACAAAAUGACAUGGCAGAGGAGGUGCAGGGGCAUGACGUGGAGACCUGGGGAAGCCUGGCAGAGGCUGGUACCUCGGAUGAACGGUCAGGGGUACCUUGGAUGAGUCCUCUUGCCCAUGCAGCUGCCCCCGGAAGCCCACCCUUACCUGCUGCCAUAGUUCCCCACAGCUUCAGCUGGCAGAGCUGCGUGAGACUCUGGGCACCAGAAUAGCAAGCAGGCCCGGAGGCAGCCAGCACCAGGAAUCGAGGAAGGGAGUUCCAGAUGGAAGCAGCAGAGUGUAAAGAUGCUUGACUGCAGGCCAGCCCCAGGGCGGGGGAGAGGUGCGGGGGCUUGGAAUGCCCUAAAAGGUUCCAGACCAGUGGAGAAAGGCUGCUAGGAAAGGCUGAGAGCAUCGGCACGCAGACCCAAAGGAACGUCUGGUAUUCAGCGUCUAUGUUAAUAAGAUUUGGGGACCUUCGGACUCCCCAGAAUUGAAAUCACCUUCACCCUAAAAUUCUCAUGUCCACCCUCCAGCCUCCUGCCAAGACUACCAAAGCAGUGUUUCUUGAACAGAGAUGAAAAUCUGCCACAACUCUUGCAGGUCAUUUGUUCAAGACCUCCUAAUACUUCUAUUUCCUUCUAUGCAAUUUUGAGAAGGGUGGAAAAUUCAACUUCAGAUUUUUCUGGACAACCAGAAGGAAACAGAUAAAUACAGAGGAAAUGACUUACAUCAACAAAAUGCACAGACAGAACAGAAAGAAAUUCUCAGGAGUCUGAGAGGGUGAGAGGUACAGACCAUACUCUCAAAAGCAAGUCUCGGUUUUCUUCUGUGGAAGAAGCAACCAUAUUGGGCCUCAGGUUCCUCAUCUAUAAAAUGGGGAGACCAUUGUCUGCCUUGCCUCAUUGAUAUCACAGAGAGUAAAGCCCAUGUGAGAUGCUAAAGACCUUGACAUGUCGAAAGGACCCUUCACCUUUAGAUCAUCUUCUGGAAGCACUAGAUGGUAAAUGGGGCCAGAGCCAUCUGUAACAUGCUACCAGACUGUGCUUAUCUUUUCGGCUGCCAACACUCUUCCUGCUUUCAGAUGACAACCUACUUCCUUCCCGCCAAAGGAACCGUGACUUGAGCACUCCCAGGACUUGGUGAUCCCAAGCAUUCCAAGUCCACUUCCCACCAGCCUCCAUCGGAGCUCCUAGGUAGCAGUGCAGACACACUCCUCUCGGAGGCGGGGACCAGCCACAUGCCCAAAUGGAAGUGAAGAAAGAUCACUUCUGACCGGCUUAGGGCCAGGGAAGCCUGAAGCACCAUCUCAACCUGUGGGUUUCAACUGAGGCUCCAGGGGAUCCCGGAGUUCCAAUGAGGUGUUUCAGAGGGUGACUGGGGGUAGGCCAGGACUAGUUUUGGGUAUCUCACCCCUGCCUCAACCACAGCAGACCUGAUGUUAUUGGUCUUAUAUAUUGGGGUUCCGUAUAUGCUUUUGUUUACAAAGCGGGUCUUGUGGUUCUAAAAAUGUUUAUAAAACAUCCUUCUGCACUAAUGUAUUUUAUAGCUAAAGAAACCAAAGCCUAGAGAGGAAAAAUUAAUUGUACUCAAGACUUCUUUAGAAUCAGAUACCAAAUCCAAGAGAAGAAUUCUAUUGAAAAAGUACCCAUGCUAAAUAAAAAGUAGCCACAUUGACCCCAAACUAAUGUAACACGCCCAUACAGACCAUCUAACCUUAUAUUCUUGUUGUGUUUUCAGCUCUCCCCAUACCCUCAAUUCCUAAGUACUUCCAGGACAGUUAGAGAUGCUAUUUAGGAAAAUGUCCCCUGUGUGUCCUCACUCUAGGGCACUACAGACCCUCCCAUCAGCGCUGCUUUAGUCUUCCUCCAUUGUUACUGUAUCAUUGGUCGAUCUAGACUAUGAGCCGCUUGAGGGCAGGGGCCAGGUCUAAUUCCAUAAGUCUGUGCAGUCUCCACGGUAAACACAAUGCCAAUAACUCGGGAGAAGCUCAAUAGAUGGUUCCUGAAUGAAUGAAUGAAGAUACUUCUCCUGCACGGACAUAAUCCCCGGUCUCUCUCCUCUAAAACUUCAACUCUGUUCCAGUCCCCACCUCUCCUUCUGAGCCGUCAGUCCACCACUGAGCCCCGUGCCCCCAGGAGGCUGACCUCAUUCUUAACUCGAGAUAGGAAAUGUACCAGACGAGAAGCUGCAGAACAGUGCCAGCAAAUUCAGAUUCCCUGGACAAUGCUGAGUGCCCGAGGCUGCGCCUGGACGCAGGGUGCACGGUUCAGCUCUGACCCUGGAUCGCAGAGCUUAACCCUGGUGUCUCUAUCAGAACCUUAAAAAGACAGAGCAGUCCUAAUAAAUCUCAGAUAGUUGAGCUAUAUGGGUUCAAACCACAAAACUAAAUUUUAAGAAAAAACUGUUGACUAAAGAUAUUACGUAGAGGCUGUCUUCCCUUCCUAAUUUCAUCCUGCCUGGCUUUUAUGAAAUACUCUUUCCAAGGAUACCUUGGACUUCUAUUGAAUUUGAGUUUUCAGAUCCUCUCACAGCAGGAAACAAG